UAAGAGUCCCACGCUCUACCGAUUGAGCUACGCGGGC
This 37-nucleotide transfer RNA is filed under the name Polymyxa betae. RNAcentral's name for it is "tRNA-Lys". Lineage: Eukaryota; Endomyxa; Phytomyxea; Plasmodiophorida; Plasmodiophoridae. The record is from RNAcentral.